Molecule: ribosomal RNA, 403 nt
Filed under: uncultured bacterium
Lineage: Bacteria
Description: partial 16S ribosomal RNA
Rfam family: Bacterial small subunit ribosomal RNA
Source: RNAcentral
AUUGAACGCUAGCGGGAUGCUUUACACAUGCAAGUCGAACGAGUGGCGGACGGGUGAGUAAUAUAUCGGAAGUGCCCAGUAGCGGGGGAUAACUCCUGGAAACGGUAGCUAAUACCGCAUACUAUCGGAUAACCCCUAUGGGAUUAGCUAGUAGGUGAGGUAAUGGCUCACCUAGGCGACGAUCCCUAGCUGGUCUGAGAGGAUGAUGAGCCACACUGGGACUGAGACACGGCGCAGAUACGUCGGGAGGCAGCAGUGGGGAAUAUUGCGCAAUGGGCGCAAGGCUGAUGCAGCCAUGCCGCGGGUAUGAAGAAGGCCCGAGGGUUGUAAAGUACUGUCAGUCGGGAGGCGUUACCGACAGAAGAAGCACCGGCUAACUCCGUGCCAGCAGCCGCGGUAAUAC